CCUACGGGUGGCAGCAGUGAGGAAUAUUGGUCAAUGGGCGGGAGCCUGAACCAGCCAAGCCGCGUGAGGGAAGAAGGUACAGCGUAUCAUAAACCUCUUUUGUCAGGGAACAAAGGCGGGGACUCGUCCCCGGAUGAGGGUACCUGAAGAAAAAGCAUCGGCUAACUCCGUGCCAGCAGCCGCGGUAAUACGGAGGAUGCGAGCGUUAUCCGGAUUUAUUGGGUUUAAAGGGUGCGCAGGCGGCCUGUUAAGUCAGCGGUAAAAAUGCGGUGCUCAACGCCGUCGAGCCGUUGAAACUGGCGUUCUUGAGUGGGCGAGAAGUAUGCGGAAUGCGUGGUGUAGCGGUGAAAUGCAUAGAUAUCACGCAGAACUCCGAUUGCGAAGGCAGCAUACCGGCGCCCGACUGACGCUGAGGCACGAAAGCGUGGGUAUCGAACAGGAUUAGAUACCCCAGUAGUC
This 459-nucleotide ribosomal RNA is filed under the name uncultured bacterium. RNAcentral's name for it is "partial 16S ribosomal RNA". It matches the Rfam family "Bacterial small subunit ribosomal RNA", at positions 338 to 795 of the family's 1533-position model. The record is from RNAcentral.